RNAcentral lists this transfer RNA (70 nucleotides) under Ixodes scapularis (black-legged tick). RNAcentral describes it as "tRNA-Arg for anticodon UCU". It matches the Rfam family "tRNA". Rfam says of the family: Transfer RNA (tRNA) molecules are approximately 80 nucleotides in length. Their secondary structure includes four short double-helical elements and three loops (D, anti-codon, and T loops). The record is from RNAcentral. Lineage: Eukaryota; Metazoa; Arthropoda; Arachnida; Ixodida; Ixodidae.
GCCCCCGUGGCUUAACGGUUAUUGCGCUUGCCUUCUGCGCAAGGCCAGGGUUCGAUUCCUGGCCGUGGCU